CUCGUUCUAAAUUAGGGGUAUAACAUUCUAACAUAAAAGAAGCCACGCCAGUGUGCGCUUUCCAAAAGAUUUAGAAGACUCAAAGAGAAGAAGGGUGUCAUAACAGUUUAUAUACAGUUCAUAGAAUAUCAAAGCAGUAAAAAGCGGCAAUUAGCACAUUAGGCUCAAACAAGUAAUAUCAGACAAUCGCAAAUUGCCAAGUAUAAUAGUCAUUCUAAGCUCGAAUUUUGAACCCUAAACCAGAGAUUCUGGGUUCGGUCCCCAGCAGAGUCGCUAGAGCUGUCACACCUCCUUUUCCCCGAAGGAUAGAGAGUUUUUCCAAUUAAAGUGACAUUAAUCGAAAUGAGAGUAUUUAUUUGAUCAGAGUCGCCACUUGGAAUAAUUUAUGGUGUUCCAAGUCAACGGUUUAUUUUAGAAUCCCAAAUCGAGGAAAUUGACUAUAUUAUGGUCCACGAACACAGAAGAUCGGGUAAGAAAUUUUGUUAACCCGGAAGAAGGUGUGAGGCACUCCCGAGUUCCGUGAUUUUAGCAUGGUCGCUUAACAAAUAAUACUUGACUUAAUUAUCUGAAUUAUUACAUGUUUUAAACCUAUUGUGCAUUUUACCUAUGACCACUUUUAAUAAUGUAUUUAAAUCGCUUUUUAGUAUUUAUGGAGUUAUUUCUUGAAUAAGUUACGAUGUCGUACACUUUUCGUUUUGGUACAUAUUACAAAGCGCGCCACGUGAAACGCACCCGCGAUUUAUAACAUGUUUAUUAUUAUUGAUUGAAGUUGUGGUCAAGUCUUGUGAAACGCGCACUCGAAUUGGGGUUUAUGUAUCAUGACUAUGCCACGGGAACCGUACCCAUAGUCACGAUGAUUUAUUUAAAUGCGCCUACGGCAACUAGCGCAUUCAAAUUAUUUUUCAAAACUAAUUUGAGAUAAUUGUGAGACCAUAAAUUAUGGAAUAGUUAUAAAAAAUAAAGUAAAUUGGUUAUCAGAAGAUGUGCUAGCUUUGUUAUUAAACAGAAAAUGGGCUAGCUAUGUUAUUUAUUACUCUGGGCCUGGCAAAUUAACUUUGUUUGGCCCAGUUCCGUGUUCAUGAAGGAAACAUAAGGUCCACUAUUUUACAAAUGUGUGUCUAACUAUAUCUAUAAGCUACUAUUUAUACUAAAACCUUAUAGAGAAAGACCUCCAAAUUCCAAACCAAUUAAUCACGAAAUGCAGCAAAAGGUUUAAUUGACAAAUUUAUUAUGGAAAAAAGAAAUAAAAUAGAAUAAAGUUUGGAGAUAUAUAGAUAACACCAAGACAACAAACCAAACAUGAACUUCUGGCCCGUCAACAUUGAAAGCAUUUUGAUUAGAGUCUUCGUUCAUGAUUAGUAAAUUAAUGACAACAAAAUAUCAAAAUUAACAUGUCCAACAUGGUUUCCUUUAUCUCACAUUAACACGAUUAAACAAGUAACUCAAUGAAACACCGUUAAGGCUCGUCGAAGUACGAAAUUUAUUUAAAAGUAGAAGAGAAUGGACCUUUACAAUUGCUUGACUGUUUCCUUCAAAAUUCGAACAACAAUGAACCUCUGACCGGAGCCAGAACUGCUAAACGGAGACCUCACCGGUGAGAUCGAACUGUGACUUUGAACCCGACCAAAGCUAUAGAUGGAGACGUUUGAUUGGGAAGUAUCAGCUACAACAAAUGGGUUUCGGGUUGGUGUUUCAAUGGGUUUUAGGGCUGUUUUAUUGCGUUUUUGAGCUGGAGUUUCCAGUUGGUUUUUAUGGAGUUUCGAGAAAGGAAAGUGAAGUUUUGUGUGGAUGUACAGAUGGAGAAGAGCUGGCUUUAAUGGAAUUUUAUGGCUGUGCUUUUCAUGGUGUUCCCACAGUGAAGGUGAAAGCAAGUAAAGAAGAAAGGAAAGAGAGAUCUACUGUUGCUGCACGCGAGAAGAAGAAGAAGAAGGCACUACUUGGAUUUUAGUCCUCAAAUCGUUCUCUUUUCCCGGAUCUAUUUUCUCUUUUUUUCAUUUCCCCCUGUUUUUGUUUCCUCCCUCUAUCUCUAUUUCCCAGGUGCUCUCUCUGUUUUUUACGUCCUCCAAAUCUAUCCUUUCUCAACCUUUGUGCCCCUCCCCCCAAAGUUUGGAGAUAUAGAGAUAACACUAAGAUAGCAAACCAAACGCGAACCUCUGGCCCGUCAAUAUUGAAAGCAUUUUGAUUAGAGUCUUCGUUCAUGAUUAGCAAAUUAAUGACAACAAAAUAUCAAAAUUAACAUGUCCAACAUGGUUUCCUUCAUUUCACAUUAACACGAUUAAACAAGUAACUCAAUGAAACACCGUUAAGGCUCGUCGAAGUACAAAAUUUAUUUAAAAGUAGAAGAGAAUGGACCUUUACAAUUGCUUGACUGUUUCCUUCAAAAUUCGAACAAGAAUAAAUCUCUGACCGGAGCCGGAACCACUAAACGGAGACCUCAUCGGCGAGAUCGAACUGCGACCUUGAACCCGACCAAAGCUAUGGAUGAAGACAUUGGACUGGAAGUAUCAGCUACAACAAAUGGGUUUCGGGUUGGUGUUUCAAUUGAUUUUGGGGCUAUUUUAUUGCGUUUUUGAGCUGGAGUUUCCAGCAAAUUUUUAUGGAGUUUCGAGGAAGGAAAGUGAAGUUUUUUGUGGAUGUAAAGAUGGAGAAGAGCUGGCUUUAAUAGAGUUUUAUGGCUGUGCUUUUCAUGGUGUUCCCACAGUGAAGGUGGAAGCAAGUAAAGAAGAAGGGAAAGAGAGAUCUACUGUUGCUGCACGCGAGAAGAAGAAGAAGAAGGCACUGCUUGGAUUUUAGUCCUCAAAUCGUUCUCUUUUCCCGGAUCUAUUUACUUUUUUUUUUCAUUUCCCCCAUAUUUUUGUUUCCUCCCUCUAUCUCUAUUUUCCAGGUGCUCUCCUUGUUUUUUACGUCCUCCAGAUCUAUCCUUUCUCAACCUUUGUGCCCCCCUCCCUCCCAAAGUUUGGAGAUAUAGAGAUAACACCAAGACAACAAACCAAACGUGAACCUCUGGCCCGUCAACAUUGAAAGUAUUUUGAUUAGAGUCUUCGUUCAUGAUUUGCAAAUUAAUGGCAACAAAAUAUCAAAAUUAACAUGUCCAACAUGGUUUUUUUUAUCUCACAUUAAUACGAUUAAACAAGUAACUCAAUGAAACACCGUUAAGGCUCGUCGAAGUACGAAAUUUAUUUAAAAGUAGAAGAGAAUAGACCUUUAAAAUUGCUUGACUGUUUCCUUCAAAAUUCGAACAAGAAUGAACCUCUGACCGGAGCCGGAACCGCUAAACGGAGACCUCACCGGCGAGAUCGAACUGUGACUUUGAACCCGACCAAAGCUAUGGAUGGAGACGUUUGAUUGGGAAGUAUCAGCUACAACAAAUGGGUUUUAGGUUGGUGUUUCAAUGAAUUUUAGGGCUGUUUUAUUGCGUUUUUUAGCUGGAGUUUCCAGCUGAUUUUUAUGGAGUUUCGAAGAAGGAAAGUGAAGUUUUGUGUGGAUGUAAAGAUGGAGAAGAACUGGCUUUAAUGGAAUUUAUUGGCUGUGCUUUUCAUGGUGUUCCCAAAGUGAAGGUGAAAGCAAGUAAAGAAGAAAGAAAAGAGAGAUCUACUGUUGCUGCACGCGAGAAGAAGAAGAAGAAGGCACUACUUGGAUUUUAGUCCUCAAAUCGUUCUCUUUUCCCGGAUUUAUUUCCUCUUUUUUCCAUUUCCCCCUUGUUUUUGUUUUCUCCCUCUAUCUCUAUUUCCCAGGUGCUCUCUCUGUUAUUUACGUCGUCCAGAUCUAUCCUUUUUCAACCUUUGUGCCUCCCUCCCCCUUAGUGAAGGUCUGCUAGGUCUAAAAUAAUAGAGAGUGGGCGUGGAUUUUUUGACAAGGUAAAAGAGGGGGUCUGGGCUAGGUAGAUUCAGGAGGAGUAAUUGGGCCGCCUAACAUUUGGCCCAAUUCAAAAACC
RNAcentral lists this long non-coding RNA (3934 nucleotides) under Nicotiana tabacum (common tobacco). Its description in RNAcentral is "long non-coding RNA (NTAB_LNC003355)". The record is from RNAcentral. Lineage: Eukaryota; Viridiplantae; Streptophyta; Magnoliopsida; Solanales; Solanaceae.